GACUCUCGCAACGGAUAUCUCGGCUCUCGCAUCGAUGAAGAACGUAGCGAAAUGCGAUACUUGGUGUGAAUUGCAGAAUCCGUGAACCAUCGAGUCUUUGAACGCAAGUUGCGCCGAGCUCUGGUCGAGGCACGUCCUGUGUCCGCAUGU
RNAcentral lists this ribosomal RNA (150 nucleotides) under Salix viminalis (osier). It matches the Rfam family "5.8S ribosomal RNA". Rfam says of the family: 5.8S ribosomal RNA (5.8S rRNA) is a component of the large subunit of the eukaryotic ribosome. Lineage: Eukaryota; Viridiplantae; Streptophyta; Magnoliopsida; Malpighiales; Salicaceae. The record is from RNAcentral.